RNAcentral lists this ribosomal RNA (453 nucleotides) under uncultured bacterium. RNAcentral's name for it is "SSU rRNA". It matches the Rfam family "Bacterial small subunit ribosomal RNA", at positions 26 to 518 of the family's 1533-position model. The record is from RNAcentral.
AGGAUGAACGCUGGCGGCGUGCCUAAUACAUGCAAGUCGAGCGGUAACACCUAGGGUGACGAGCGGCGGACGGCUGAGUAACGCGUAGGAAUGUACCCCGAAGUGAGGGAUAAGCACCGGAAACGGUGUCUAAUACCGCAUAUUCUCUUAGGAGCAAAGCAGCAAUGCGUUUUGGGAACGGCCUGCGUCUGAUUAGCUUGUUGGUGAGGUAAAAGCUCACCAAGGCGACGAUCGGUAGCUGGUCUGAGAGGAUGAUCAGCCAGACUGGGACUGAGACACGGCCCAGACUCCUACGGGAGGCAGCAGUAGGGAAUUUUCCACAAUGGGCGAAAGCCUGAUGGAGCAACGCCGCGUGCAGGAUGAAGGCCUUCGGGUCGUAAACUGCUUUUGUUAGUGACGAUUAUGACGGUAGCUAACGAAUAAGGGUCUGCUAACUACGUGCCAGCAGCCGGC